Long non-coding RNA from Carya illinoinensis, 1011 nucleotides. RefSeq lists it as uncharacterized. NCBI's taxonomy places the organism in Eukaryota, Viridiplantae, Streptophyta, Magnoliopsida, Fagales, Juglandaceae. The record is from RefSeq and is a predicted model, not a curated record. The transcript has 2 exons.
UUUGUCUCAAAUCUCUUACCUUUAUUCUGAAAACUUACAUACCAUGUGAUCUAACCGAACAGCCCAACUCUCUCGUGUUGCAUCAUAAGCCAAGUUGCAGCCUUGUUUUUAGGCGAGAAAAACAGAGCACGGUUGUGCUCUCAACUUGCUUUACAUCAGGGGUCUAGAGACGCCACCGCAUCCUCACAUCAUCUCCACCGCGUCUAUUUCACUCAAUGCCAUGCCAGCAUCUGUCUGUCUUAGUGUUUUCCAGCUCGCUGUCGCACGCCACCCUCAAAGCCAGUUUGACAACACCGAGAAACAGCGGCAACAGCAAGCAACGUGGAGGAGACACUCGGAGAGGAUGACCAUGGGAGGAUCGUGGAAAUUGAGUGAGGGGUUGAUAUGUGAUGAAGUGCUCUAUUGUGGUUGCAAAAGAGGUUGACUCAUGCAGAUAGUGCCUAUUUUCGUGUGUUUGGGAGGUUGGAACUUCGGUGUUGCGCGUUGAUGGUGAUGGGUGAUCUUUCGAUUUUGGUAGAAAAAGAAACAGGGGAAGUGAAUAUGGAGUGUGAGAGAGAUCAAAAGUAAGUACUGUGAGGUUACGUCAAAUCGUCCAAGAAAAUAUGGAUGAAAACUUCAAAACAUGUUUUAGCCAACAACGUGGAGAAAAAAAAAAAUAAAGAAUGCCAAUGCGGAGAACCCACGUCAAACGGAAAGGAAAAAGGGGAUCGUAUGGUGGGAUCCCUAGCAUUUUCUAUCUACAAAUAAAGACUAGUAAGCUUUUUUUUCCCGAGAAAAUGAUUAACCUACCAUUCUUCUGUAAUCAUUAUGAGGAUUUGGUGGCUCUAAACCUGGCAUGAUCUUGGAUUCUGCGUGGGAGGAUCUACGAGUUGUAAGUAAUUAAGCUCGAUCAGUAAUAAUUAAUUAAUUUCCCAUAAAACAAACACAAUUAAUUCGCUGGAAAAAAUCAGAUUUUUUUGCCAUAGAAAAUUGACAAGUUGGCAAUGAUCUUCACUGUUGUGCGGGAUUCUA